CCUACGGGAGGCAGCAGUAGGGAAUCUUAGACAAUGGGGGCAACCCUGAUCUAGCCAUGCCGCGUGUGUGAUGAAGGCCCUAGGGUCGUAAAGCACUUUCGCCAGAGAUGAUAAUGACAGUAUCUGGUAAAGAAACCCCGGCUAACUCCGUGCCAGCAGCCGCGGUAAUACGGAGGGGGUUAGCGUUGUUCGGAAUUACUGGGCGUAAAGCGCACGUAGGCGGAUUAGUAAGUUAGAGGUGAAAUCCCAGGGCUCAACCCUGGAACUGCCUUUAAUACUGCUAGUCUUGAGUUCGAGAGAGGUAAGUGGAAUUCCGAGUGUAGAGGUGAAAUUCGUAGAUAUUCGGAGGAACACCAGUGGCGAAGGCGGCUUACUGGCUCGAUACUGACGCUGAGGUGCGAAAGUGUGGGGAGCAAACAGGAUUAGAUACCCUUGUAGUC
Molecule: ribosomal RNA, 440 nt
Filed under: uncultured bacterium
Lineage: Bacteria
Also listed under: 1 other name
Description: bacterial SSU rRNA
Rfam family: Bacterial small subunit ribosomal RNA
Source: RNAcentral